UUCCUUAUAGUUUAAGAAGAAUUGGAUUUUGAAGCAAUCAAGGUAGUACAUUUACUUUUGGAAG
Molecule: transfer RNA, 64 nt
Filed under: Paurocephala sauteri
Lineage: Eukaryota; Metazoa; Arthropoda; Insecta; Hemiptera; Liviidae
Description: tRNA-Phe
Source: RNAcentral